Lutra lutra (Eurasian river otter) is the source of this 1872-nucleotide long non-coding RNA. RefSeq lists it as uncharacterized. The transcript has 3 exons. The record is from RefSeq and is a predicted model, not a curated record. NCBI's taxonomy places the organism in Eukaryota, Metazoa, Chordata, Mammalia, Carnivora, Mustelidae.
GCCCGCACGGUCGCCCGCCCGGAAACCCGCCUCCCGCUGACACCCGCGACGGGCGCGUCCGUCUGUCCCGCGGGCAGCGGCCGGGGCGCGGCGACGGGGGCCGGGGGACGUGCGCGCGCAGCGGCCUCGAGCGCGUGCCGGGGGCUCCCCUGGACACCCGCCCGCCCGGGUCCCUGGGCCCCAUUCCCAGCUCCGACGCCCGGCCGGUGCUCGCGUCCUCGGCGCUGCCCGGCGGACUGCUCGGAGGCGCCUGCACCGCGGGGUCCCCGGUCCACCGUGGGGUCGCCGCUCCGGACGGCGCGCGCCCUGAGAGCCCCAGGGGCGCCCCUUGUCCCGGGGAGCGGCCGCAGGGCGCGCGGGUCUCUCCCCGCCCCCCGCAGCCCGCCCUCCUGGGCGCCCCCACCUGCUUCCCGGCCCCCUUCGGGCAAGCGAGGGCGCCGGGUCGCCAAGUGUCCUCCCGCCGCAGCCCCGCGAGGACAGGACGCGCGCUGGCCCGACGCGCGCCGCGCUCCCUCUUCGCACCCGACGGAACCUGACCUUCCCCAAACCCCUAACCCUGCGGCGAGGGGCCGUGACCUCGGAAGGGCUCCCCGGCGGCCAGUGAGCGAGCGAAGAGCUUCGCGAAGUGCGCCCCGGAGGCGGUUUCUUAGGAGCCGGAGGAUGCAUUUGGGGGUGUGAGGGGAGUUUUCUCCUCGGGCCUCGCUCGUGUCCGCCUGUUCCGAUUUCGCUCCCGUCUGCUUCGUGUCUUACACUUUUCCAAGGGGAAGAAAAUGUUUCGGUUUUGAUUUUCCACAUUUCUUAGCGCUGGAUUUCUCCAGAUGUCUUGGAAUUUAGACUCUCUGCUGUCUGUGACUUGGGCCACCAUGGGACACGUGCGUGAUGUCCGCUGAAGUUCUGGGCAGAUCCUGGCAGGAGCUCUGUGGCCCGCUGUGCUGUUCAUCUGGACAGCUCAGCUGAGGGACUGUUUACAGAUGUGUGGGUAGGAAUAAAGAAGCCAAAGCAGUUCACGGGACUCCUGCUGACAGGUUGACAGAAAACCACAAGCCCCUCCGGGCUCCGAGGGACAGGAAGGGAAAGCGCACUACCGGAAGCAGGCUGAGCCCAGGAGCCAGACCACCCCCCGACCCCAACCCCCAUCCGGAGGCACAGAGGCUACAGAGCCGGGGUCAGCACACUGCUCACAGGGCUCUGCCCCACACGUGUCCUCCUCUCGCAGCAGCUGUGGCAUAAAGGCAUGAAGCUUUCGGCAGGUACCUUCACUCCCACCCUCUCUACCCCGCGUCCAAAUUCACAACAUCCCAACACGGAGUGAGGUAUGAAACUUCCAACACCACAUGUCACCCCUUGAAAGGCUAACUACCCUUGUGACGUGUGAAGCCUGGAUCUGACAUAAAGGGAGGAAAAUGUAACUAUAACACAAUAAGGUUUUCAUUCAUCUUACCACGCGAUGCACUCACGUUAAUUACAGCAAGCUCUUAAUUUAAAAAACUGUAUUUUGUGCAGAAUUCGUUCCAGCGUUUCAUUUGCUGAAAGAAGAAUUUUGAGUCAACCACAAAAUGUGUGCACGUGAGCACGUGUGCCAGUGUGCAAAUGGGUGUGUGCACACACGGCACUCCCAGGGCACACACGACUCCAGCUGCGCCCUGGCAGCCCACGCCCCUGCUGCAGAGCUCUGUCUUGUACAGGAUCAGCUGUGGUGCGUGGGGACAGAUGUGUCUAGAAGAGUCCUGGUUUUCUUUAAACCACGCAUUCAAUUACUAUUCUAAUGAACCAUAGACAUUUCAACUAUUCCAUCAAAAUGGGAAAAAUGUAAUGAAUAGCUUCUCACAGAGAGUUUCAAAGGAUUGCCUAAGAAAUAAAUGGACCCCAAGU